AUUGAACGCUGGCGGCAUGCUUUACACAUGCAAGUCGAACGGCAGCGCGGGCUUCGGCCUGGCGGCGAGUGGCGAACGGGUGAGUAAUGCAUCGGAACGUGCCCAGUAGUGGGGGAUAGCCCGGCGAAAGCCGGAUUAAUACCGCAUACGACCUGAGGGUGAAAGCGGGGGACCGAAAGGCCUCGCGCUAUUGGAGCGGCCGAUGUCGGAUUAGCUAGUUGGUGGGGUAAAGGCUUACCAAGGCGACGAUCCGUAGCUGGUCUGAGAGGACGACCAGCCACACUGGGAAUGAGACACGGACCAGACUCCUAAGGGAGGCAGCAGUGGGGAAUUGUGGACAAUGGGGGCAACCCUGAUCCAGCCAUGCCGCGUGCGGGAAGAAGGCCUUCGGGUUGUAAACCGCUUUUGUUCGGGAAGAAAUCCUCUGGGCUAAUACCCCGGAGGGAUGACGGUACCGGAAGAAUAAGCACCGGCUAACUACGUG
This 484-nucleotide ribosomal RNA is filed under the name uncultured bacterium. RNAcentral's name for it is "partial 16S ribosomal RNA". It matches the Rfam family "Bacterial small subunit ribosomal RNA", at positions 29 to 507 of the family's 1533-position model. The record is from RNAcentral.